Molecule: non-coding RNA, 73 nt
Organism: Castor canadensis (American beaver)
Lineage: Eukaryota; Metazoa; Chordata; Mammalia; Rodentia; Castoridae
Source: the annotation of a RefSeq genome assembly
GGCAGAGUAGCUCAAGUGGUAGAGUGCCUGCCUAGCAAGCAGGAGGCCCUGAGUUCAAGCCCCAGUGCUGCCA